UCAGUGACGUCACUCACGGUCUAAAUUUGGCUGACACUAUUUCAAACCAGUGUUUCAAACACGUUUUGAUUUUUCAUUGUAAACAAAUAUUGAUUAAAAUUGUACUGUGAUUUCAGGAGUGUCUUAAAAACCCUCUAAAACAGAGGGGAAGUUCCAAGAAAAUUUCUAAUGGGAGCUGCUGACAGAGAUAGAAAACACAGUUUGUUUAUUUCUAAUAAGGAGCUGGAGGCUGUGGAGAAGCAGAUCCGUGACCUCGUGGAGAAGCAGGCCCAGCUGAGAGAGUGGAGAGCUGUGCUGGAAACAUUCAGGGGUUGACGCUCAUAAGUCCAGGGGCAGUUUGUGAAGACAGAUAAUCAAGAGAAGUCAGUUCCAGAUCCACCUUCCACACCAGACCUCUCUCUCACGAGGAUUGCUGUCUACUAGUAUAUUGUGUUCUCUUCAGACUUCGGGGGAUGCAGAUAUUACUCAGGGACAUGAACACUUGAAUAUUGCAAGAAUAGAGAAAGUAAGAAUUACUUAAGAUUUUAGAAUUUAAUGUUAAUUGCUUAAACAUAUAUACAUAUAUAUUUUUUUAGAUAUAUUUUUUGUGGCAGUGUGAACUGGCCAUAAUGCUGUAUGAUAGGUGUGAGAUUCAUUAAACUUGAUUUGCUAUAAUACAUCUGUUCAUAAGCUAUUGCAUAUUAUUUUCAAUGAAUUAUUUGUAGUGGUUUGGUUAAGGGUGUGAUUAGCUGACGUAUUAUUUGUGGGAGCUUGUGAUUAGUUGAUGAAUGUGUGCAUUGUUAAUGCUAAUAUUUAAAUGCAAUGUACUGAGUGCCUACUAAGACUUGCAUGUUGGAGCAUAAUGUUUUGACCCUGGAUGCUUACAGAAGGGUAUAGAUAUUUAAAUAUAUGGAAAUGUAUUUAUUAUUAAUAUAUCUCAAUCUAUGUGCUUCUGUAUGGGCUGAAUGCUUUCAAUCAUAUUUCGCUGUAUAUCCUAUGUUUUUAUUAAUAAUCUGGGUGUAUUACUGUUCAUAUUUGCUUGUUAAUAAAUUAACUGAAUUAA
Long non-coding RNA from Carassius carassius (crucian carp), 1042 nucleotides. RefSeq lists it as uncharacterized. NCBI's taxonomy places the organism in Eukaryota, Metazoa, Chordata, Actinopteri, Cypriniformes, Cyprinidae. The transcript has 3 exons. The record is from RefSeq and is a predicted model, not a curated record.